UGUUAAAAAUUUCAUCAAUUUUCACUAUUAAAAAUUGACAUAGCUAAUAAAAUAAAUAGAUAGUUACACAUGGCAUGCCACAUAUACAUCAUUUUGAGGUAUAAGACUAGUUUUUAACCGUAUAAAUUGAUGAAAUUUUUAACA
Molecule: non-coding RNA, 144 nt
Organism: Gossypium hirsutum (cotton)
Lineage: Eukaryota; Viridiplantae; Streptophyta; Magnoliopsida; Malvales; Malvaceae
Source: Rfam